Non-coding RNA from Cyanistes caeruleus (blue tit), 910 nucleotides. Lineage: Eukaryota; Metazoa; Chordata; Aves; Passeriformes; Paridae. The record is from RefSeq and is a predicted model, not a curated record.
CAAUUGCCCACCGCACUAGAUCAAAAAGGGAGAAAGAAAGAGAACCAAUUUUGUAAUUACGACAAACAGUCGGCAAUCAGGGGCCAAUUGGGAAAAUCCCGAGACAGGGAGGAAAUGUUACCUGGAGAGUUUUGCCCUAACAUUUCAAGAACAAUUCCACCAUAUUUGAAAACCAACUAGCAAAGGAAUUAGAAGACCGGAAAAGACAGGAGCCAGAAGGAGUUGUUCUUCAAUACAUGGAUGACAUUCUGAUUGCAGCCAGGACCAGAGAUGACUGCAUAAAAUUCAAUACCCAUAGGACUGGACACUCCUGCACAUCCAUUCCAGCCUGGAGACUGGGUCUACGUUAGUCACUGGGACAGUGAUUCUCUGUAAGCCAGGUGGAAAGGACCAUUUAAAGUUCUGCUGACUACCUUCACUGCAGUCAAAGUUGCUUGCAAAGGACCCUGGAUUCACUACUCCAGAAUUAAGAAAGCUUCUGCUCCUGAAACAAUUGUAACAAUGAAGACUGAUGCAAAUGAUAAUAUAUUUUAAAUGGUUCCUCGUCUGUGUCUAAUUACUAUUCUUCUUUAUAUGAUACUUGAUUGUGUAAGAUAUUAUUCUCAUUAGAUGUUUAUUGAUAUUAGGUUUAUGUUUAUUAAGUAUACAUUUACUAUUAGAUAUUUAUGUAGUGUUAGAUAUUUAUUAUUGUUAGACACUUACUUGUCAUUAAAUUCUUAUUGCCAGUAAAUAUUUAGAAUAGAGACUUGACAAGGUAGAGGCCUUGUCGAGCCUCCAAAGUGGGGAAACCGAUGACUUAUGUUUUAAGUUUUUCUGGUCUGCUUUGGCAUGCAGCUUUAUAUUAAAGGUUACAAUGAUCUUUUCACUGGGUAGUGAAGACAAAACAAUCCUAUUCCAGCUGGGGACUCAA